This 414-nucleotide ribosomal RNA is filed under the name uncultured microorganism. Its description in RNAcentral is "bacterial SSU rRNA". It matches the Rfam family "Archaeal small subunit ribosomal RNA", at positions 459 to 872 of the family's 1478-position model. The record is from RNAcentral.
CAGCCGCCGCGGUAAUACCGGCGGCCCGAGUGGCGGUCACUAUUAUUGGGCUUAAAGCGUCCGUAGCCGGGUUGGGAAGGCCUCCGGGAAAUCUGGCCGCUUAACGGUCAGAAUGCCGGAGGAUACUCCCAGCCUAGGGAGCGGGAGAGGCCGAGGGGAUUCCCGGAGUAGGGGGGAAAUCCUAUAAUCCCGGGAGGACCACCUGUGGCGCAGGCGCUCGGCUGGAACGCGUCCGACGGUGAGGGACGAAGGCCAGGGGAGCAAACCGGAUUAGAUACCCGGGUAGUCCUGGCUGUAAACGAUGCGGACUUUGUGUCGGACAAGCUAUGAGCUUGUCCGGUGCCGGAGGGAAACCGUUAAGUCCGCCGCCUGGGGAGUACGGCCGCAAGGCUGAAACUUAAAGGAAUUGGCGGG